This 461-nucleotide long non-coding RNA is filed under the name Helianthus annuus (common sunflower). Its description in RNAcentral is "hypothetical non coding rna". Lineage: Eukaryota; Viridiplantae; Streptophyta; Magnoliopsida; Asterales; Asteraceae. The record is from RNAcentral.
CUAGUGUCCUCGCGAAGGGUGCGGAGCACCCUAACUCGCACGCGCGCGUGGCGUGGCGUGGGCGAUGAGGCGCAAUGUGGCGCUUUGAUGGCGCACUUUGUAUUUUUGACCACGCGCGCGUGGUGGAGCACAAGGGUUGCAAGGACCAAGUGGUACGUGAUGUGGCGCAUGACGUGGCAGUCAUGCGCGCGCGAGUACACGAGGCGCGCGGUUGGGCGCAUGGUGCAUGGGUCCUGCUGUGUCGUGCGCGGCGCACCAGAGUGAGCCAAUACGGCGCGACUGUGUGGCGCGCACGUAUAGGCUCACAGGUGACGUGGCGCACGCGCGCAUGGACGGACUUGAGCCAAGAGGCCGCACCGCGCAUGAGCGCGCAUGGACAUGGGCCAGUGUGGUGCACGCGCGCAUGGCAGUGAGCCAAGAUGCCGCACCGCGCAUGGGCGUGCGGACCUGGGCGCGCGCAG